AAGAUCUCGUGGGGAAGCAAACAGGGGAAGGGAAAGUCGUGCUAGGUCUCAUCGGACGUGAUGACAAAACAAAAGUAUCUAGGUGUCAUGGGCUUUAGAGACAUAGAGACAUUCAAUCUAGCACUACUCACACAUCCGACAUGGAGGCUACUUGAUGACCCAAAUUCUCUUAGUGCAAGGAUACUAAAAGCUAUUUAUUUUCCACAUCAAUCUUCCCUGGAAGCGGAUCUUGGCAACCAACCAACCCAAAUCUGGCGAGCCAUGAUCGAUGAUAGAGAUAUAUUGAAGUAGGGAAUCAUCGGGCGUAUUGGGAACGGUCAUACUACAAACAUUUGGGAGACCAACUAG
Molecule: ribosomal RNA, 348 nt
Filed under: Triticum aestivum (bread wheat)
Lineage: Eukaryota; Viridiplantae; Streptophyta; Magnoliopsida; Poales; Poaceae
Description: partial small subunit ribosomal RNA
Source: RNAcentral